ACUGAUGAAUGAGCAGGAUGUUCCCGCAGCCCCGUAGUUAGCAACAGUAUAGUGGGUGUUUAAAUAAUUUGUUUUACCAUUCAAGAAUUUAAAGUUGCCACAUUGACUGACAGAGAAAACACGUGGAAUCGAAUAGAGAGCUGGGCUUGCUACAGCUGGACUCUCAUCCCUGUAGAAACUGUCAGGAAGAGGCUGUGUAUGCGAGGCAGGAAGGGCCUAAUAUACGUACUGAGGGUUGAGGACAGUGUCAACGCCAACAGCAACAACACAGAUGCCCUCUGCUCUGGGCCAGCGCGCAGGCACAGAGGAGUCCUCUCUCUCCCCACGCUGUUCUCCAGUCUGCAUUAGUUAGCUGCUCUGAAGGUCAAUCAAGACGCCUCAAGUGUUUUCUGCCUUCGGAUGAUCGAGCUGUGAAGCGCUUUUUCGUUUGCGGGCUCACCUCUGUUUGGCUCUGUUUGGCUGAGAGGUGCAGCCUGACUGAGUGGAGCUCAUCGGCACAGACAAAGCAGAGGCAGGUAGUGGACAUCAAAAGCAGAGGCUCCCAAAAAAAACGCCCUUCACUGACCUCUUUCUGCACACAGGAAUGCUAAAUCAGGCUGAUAUAUAUAUAUUUUUUUUGUUAUGUGUGUGUGUUUGUUUGAGCCAAAAGCGGUCCAUAGCCAAAAGCCCUCAUCUAGUUUGUGUGCCUUGCAUGUUUGAUGCUUCAGUGAAAAUCUGUCGAUUUGAAAUGGAAAGAGUUUGAAUUUGAAAUCUGUGCAUACUUUUAUUUUUUUUAAGGAAAGUUAAUUUAGGUUUCUUUUUUUAUUAAAGAGAUAUAAAGAAAGUUACCAUGCCCAAUUCAAUCUGGCUAUACAGAAAUAGGGCAAUUUGGUAAAGAUCUUUUUUUUUUAAUGGCAUUUCAAAGGCCCAGGAAAGUUUGUAUAUUUCCCAUCUAAUGAUUUUGCAAUAAAGCUGAUAGAAAUAA
Long non-coding RNA from Clupea harengus (Atlantic herring), 964 nucleotides. RefSeq lists it as uncharacterized. The record is from RefSeq and is a predicted model, not a curated record. Lineage: Eukaryota; Metazoa; Chordata; Actinopteri; Clupeiformes; Clupeidae.